RNAcentral lists this ribosomal RNA (752 nucleotides) under uncultured Bacteroidota bacterium. RNAcentral's name for it is "bacterial SSU rRNA". It matches the Rfam family "Bacterial small subunit ribosomal RNA", at positions 107 to 861 of the family's 1533-position model. The record is from RNAcentral. Lineage: Bacteria; Pseudomonadati; Bacteroidota.
UGCGUAACGCGUAUGCAACCUACCUUUUACUGGGGGAUAGCCCGGAGAAAUCUGGAUUAAUACCCCAUGGUAUCUACGAGUCGAAUGUUUUGUAGCUUAAAGAUUUAUCGGUAAAAGAUGGGCAUGCGUCUGAUUAGCUAGUUGGCGGGGUAACGGCCCACCAAGGCGACGAUCAGUAGGGGUUCUGAGAGGAAGGUCCCCCACACUGGCACUGAGAUACGGGCCAGACUCCUACGGGAGGCAGCAGUAGGGAAUAUUGGGCAAUGGUCGCAAGACUGACCCAGCCAUGCCGCGUGCAGGAAGACGGCCCUCUGGGUUGUAAACUGCUUUUAUCUGGGAAGAAAAAGUCCAUGCGUGGAAAAUUGCCGGUACCAGAUGAAUAAGCACCGGCUAACUCCGUGCCAGCAGCCGCGGUAAUACGGAGGGUGCAAGCGUUGUCCGGAUUUAUUGGGUUUAAAGGGUGCGUAGGCGGCUGAAUAAGUCAGCGGUGAAAGACUUCGGCUUAACCGGAGCAGUGCCGUUGAUACUGUUUAGCUUGAGUGUUGGAGGGGUACAUGGAAUUGAUGGUGUAGCGGUGAAAUGCAUAGAUACCAUCAGGAACACCGAUAGCGAAGGCAUUGUACUGGCCAACAACUGACGCUGAGGCACGAAAGUGUGGGGAUCGAACAGGAUUAGAUACCCUGGUAGUCCACACUGUAAACGAUGAUUACUCGCUGUUAUGGUGUAUGCUGUAGCGGCCAAGCGAAAGCGUU